Molecule: long non-coding RNA, 1253 nt
Filed under: Lonchura striata (white-rumped munia)
Lineage: Eukaryota; Metazoa; Chordata; Aves; Passeriformes; Estrildidae
Description: domestica (Bengalese finch) lncRNA (ENSLSDG00000006334.1)
Source: RNAcentral
CGAGGCUGGAUCCCGUGCGGAUCCCGUGGGAACCCCCGGGUGGAUCCCCCCAGCAGAUCCCGAGGCCAAAGCAGCCCCAAAAUCUCCUUUUUUCCCCCCAAUUUCCCGGAUCCUUUCCCGGGAUUCGGGAGCCCAGACCCCCAAAUCCCAGCCGGGGCUGGAUUUGUAUUCCCAAGUUUUGGGGUUUUAUUCCCAAUUUUUGGGGUUUUAUUCCCAAUUUCUGGAUUUUUAUUCCCAAUUUCUGGAUUUUUAGUCCCAAUUUCUGGGGUUUUAGUCCAAAUUUUUUGGGUUUUAGUCAAAAUUUCUGGGGUUUUAUUCCCAAUUUCUGGAUUUUUAUUCCAAAUUUCUGGGGUUUUAUUCCCCAUUUCUGGGGUUUUAGUCCCAAUAUCUGUAGUUUUAUUCCCAAUUUCUGGAUUUUUAUUCCCAAUUUCUGGAUUUUUAGUCCCAAUUUCUGGAUUUUUAGUCCAAAUUUUUUGGGUUUUAUUCCCAAAAUUUCUGGGGUUUUAUUCCCAAAAUUUCUGGAUUUUUAUUCCCAAUUUCUGGAGUUUUAUUCCAAAUUUCUGGGGUUUUAUUCCCAAUUUCUGGAUUUUUAGUCCCAAUUUUUUGGGUUUUAUUCCCAAAAUUUCUGGAUUUUUAUUCCAAAUUUCUGGGGUUUUAUUCCCAAUUUCUGGGGUUUUAUUCCCAAUAUCUGUAGUUUUAUUCCCAAUUUCUGGAUUUUUAUUCCAAAUUUCUGGAUUUUUAUUCCCAAUUUCUGGGGUUUUAUUCCCAAAAUUUCUGGAUUUUUAUUCCCAAUUUCUGGAUUUUUAUUCCAAAUUUCUGGGGGUUUAUUCCCAAUUUCUGGGGUUUUAUUCCCGAUUUCUGGAUUUUUAUUCCCAAUUUUCUGGGGUUUUAUUCCCAAUUUUCUGGGGUUUGAUUCCCAAUAUUUGGGGGGUUUUAUUCCCACUUUCUGGAUUUUUUUUCCCAUUUUCUUGGAUUUUUAUUCCCAUUUCCCCCAAAAAUUUUGUUAAAAAAAAAAAAAAAUUAAAAUCCCUGAGGGGAAUUUUAGGAGCAACUUCCCAAAAAAAACCCCAAAUCCUUCCUAAAAAACCCUAAAUCUUCAAAAAACCCCAAAAUCCACCCAAAAAAACCCAAAAUCUGCCCAAAAAACCCCAAAUCCCCCCAAACGUCCCAAAAUCGCUUCAAUUUGUGGAUUUUGGCCCCAGGGCUUCCCAGAAAUUCCAAAAUUCUUCAUUUCCCCCAAAUUCCCUCUGGCC